This 2649-nucleotide long non-coding RNA is filed under the name Felis catus (domestic cat). Its description in RNAcentral is "lncRNA (ENSFCAG00000052918.1)". Lineage: Eukaryota; Metazoa; Chordata; Mammalia; Carnivora; Felidae. The record is from RNAcentral.
UUUUGCGAGAUUCUGGCCCCAAAUCCCUUCACCUCCCAGAGGAGUCUCGAGAUCCUCGUGCCCCUGCCACGGUCACUCCGAGACAAUUGUACGCCGCCUCUGACGCUGCGGAGGCGCACGGGCACCCGAAGGCCUAGACCACGAAACGGUGCGGAGUUGGGGCUCAGUUCUCAGAGACCGGGGUUGCGUUUGGCCUCCCAGGCCUCAACAGCCCUAGAAAGGCGGACUGCGCAAUCGCAGUUGGGGGCGGGCGAGAAAAAGGCACUGUCAACUCGGGGCUUGCCCCACCCAAUCAGGAGGUGGAGGGGACCCAGGCACCUCGGGGUGUGAUGUUACCCAGUGUCUUCCCAAUGUCAGGGUUCAGUUUCCAAGGGAAUUCUCAAGUGGGAACUACGAGAUUCAUGCAACUGAUUAUCCCCUCUCCUCCAAAUACGAUUCUAAGGAAAAUCUCCUUGAACUUUUCCCAUGGGAGAGAGCAAGACGGUUUCCAGGUAAAAGCAGAAACUUCGGCCUGACAUCUUUCUAUACGUUCCCAGGCUUACCCGCCUCCCUUCCAGCAGCCCUACCCCCAUCUCCACCCAGAACUCCCGCCCAGAUUCCCUUGCAGGCCACCCGGGGAAGCGUUUAAUUCGGUCUCCACCUCCCACCGCUGCGGAGACGAAUGCAUUUUCCAUCCCUCGGGAGUCUGUUCGCUAAGCAACUGUGGGGCUCGGGGCGUUUGUAGAGGCUGGGAACUCCAGGCAACCUGUAGCUCCGGGCAUCUCAUGCCGCACUGGCUGGUUUACAAACCCGGGGGGAAAGGUCUGGGUUCUGGCGCAGCGGCCCAGGCAACACUGCACCCACGCCGUGCAAAAUGAGCGCACAGAGAGGAAUGGGGGGACGCGAGGCUUCCCGCCUCCUCGCCCCGGUGCCAGCUCCAGGAUGCGUGCGAAAUGGCUGGCGGCCCUGAGGAGCAGGGAGCAGCGGGGUUAAUGCGCCAUUCCAAAUCGAGGUGCCCGCCAGCAGGAAGCGACAGAGGCACCAGAUUUCCCUUCCGCAUUAAGAGGGUUUUUCCUUUUUUUCCUGCUUGGCCGACGGAGAGCUUUUUAAAUUGGACGUGGAGAUCCUCAAUUAUAAGUGUGGAGAAGUUGGCAAAAGAGGAAACAGUGGAAAAGUCCCCGCUUGGCCAGAGGAGGCUCCCGGCUCCCAUUCCCGCCCGCGGCCGGGUGCGGCGCAGGCCCGGAAAGCACGCUCCCACCUCCCCCGCGACAGGGAGGCGCAUUCUUCCCUCGGAGCAUCGCCGGGGCCGGCUCUACUCGGGGCGGCUCUUUAGUUCCCGGUAUCUGCUGGGCGAAGGAAGAGGCGGGGGGUUGGGGCCUCAGCACACACAGCGAUCUACUGGGACGCUUUUCUCAGAGCCCAUCUGGGCCCCCCAACUCAUCCCUCCUCCCCCCCCCCGCCCCUUCCCUGUUUGUCCCCUAACCGCUUUCUCAAAGCACAGCUGCGGGACGUGUUUCCGCCUGCAACCAGCCGCCUUUGCUAUGCGCGCGAAUUGCUUAACGCGCUGCCUGCCACGUGCGGUAACCACGCUUUCCUCCCGAAGUCGGCUCCACCAGAAACCGUCCGAGUCCUGUAGUGCCCACGCGAAAGAGGCUGCGUCGUCUUUUUAAGUAUGAAACCGGUGAACAAGCACCUCCCUCCCUCAUUCCCCCUAAUACCAAAUUACUCCCGAAAAUUCCGGAUGUGUUCACCAGUGUUGCCUGCUCUUCAGGCUCCGACCCUUCAUCCUCUCCCCAGUUUUCCCCUUCCCACCUCACCUGAGCUGGUGUCUCAGUAACCUUUUAGAAUUCCCCCUCCCUCAAUUCCCCGCAGCCUCGUGAUAGCUUCCCCGGGGGCGAGUGCCUCCGCCGCCCGUGCCCCCGCGCCUUCCUCUGUCUGGCAGGCUGGGAGGUUUGUUUGGGCAUUGCCUUCAAGAUCCAGGGCUCCGGGAGAGAAAAGGGAGGCGGGGUGGUGGGGGGCGUGCUGUAACUCCGAGUUUUCUUUUUGGAGUAGGGACACAAGUUGCUGAAAGAUGUAUUGCUUUUCUUAAGUGUGCCUCGUGUCCUAGCCUGACGGAGAACUUAUUUCCCCCUAACUGUUGGGCCCAAGACCAGGGGAAAGAAAAAGGAGGGACGUUUUCUGCGUGCAGUCUGGGGAGAGGUCUCUCUGUAAGGGGCCCGAGGCCAUAUUCCGGGGGGAGGGGGGACGGCCGAAACCCUUUCGACAGUGGGCUGGGACGCUGCGGGGUCCCUGGGCAUCUGACACUUGUUGAAAAGGCGACCCUGUCCCAAACCCCGCCAAACCGAAGGUGUGGCUAAACAGGGCGCUAGAGUUGGUCCGGGCCGGGCGGAAGCCCAGCGGCUCCUACUUUGAGGUGGAGGAAGAGGUGCGUGCGUGAAGUUAAGCUGCAUUUCUUCCUCGGAAUACUUUAAAUGUACAUUCAAAGUACUGUGGAGUACGCUCGAGCACACCGGCGGCAGGGGCCGGAAGAGUUGUGUUUGUCCCCGCCAAUGAGCAAAAAUGUUGGGAGCAAUGGGUUGGGCAGCACCCCCCCUCCCCACCCGGGCGCGCGCGUCGGCUCUGCGGGCGGGUUUGCCACAGCCCAAACCAGGGAGGCGCCAGGAGGCUGGG